GAGUGGUGGCGGUCACACAGUGGUGGCGCUGCUGGCGCCCUGGAGUUUGGCGUGAGAAGAUGAGAUCGCCACCGCGUUCCUCGGCGCAGCUGCUGCAACCAAUGCCCGCCGGCCGCUGCUCGCUCUGAGCAAAAAGACAGCACCAAACUUCCAGCUGAUAGAUCCCACGGAUGGAUUUAGACAGCUCCCAUUUUACAGAGACAGGGAGGAGAAAGAGACUGGUCAUGAAUGCAUCUGCUCAUGCAUCUUGGAUUAGACUUCAAGUGACUUUAUCAUUGCCAGUGAUUACCCACAGGAACUGGUGCUGAUUUACUUUGUAAUCGUGUUUGUAUUUCAAUAAUCAAACAAAUAGAUUUAUAAUGGUAAGGAAACUGAAGGGGCAUGUGGAAAAUAGCACUGCUGUAAUUCAGGCAGACAUAAUUAAAUUAUAUAUGAAAAAGAUAUUUGUGUACAAUUAGAGUUAUUGAUUGUAAAGUAGGAUCAAAUAAGCAUAAUAGUUUCAACUGCAAAAAUUAACAAGGCUUGGCUUAGAUAUCAAUGCAGUUACACUUAAAAAUUCAUAAUAUCUUCUCAGAAGGUGGGGUGGCCAAAUACCCUUGGGAAUCUACGGUGCCUGCCCCAUCUGAACCGAUAGAUGCCUCUCUCCUCUUAUAAAGGCUUUUGGCGUGAAACCUCCCCAGCUCAUGUCUAUCAUGCCAUCUAAUAGAAGGUGCUGCUAGCAGUGUGUCACAGGAA
Molecule: long non-coding RNA, 735 nt
Filed under: Salvator merianae (Argentine black and white tegu)
Lineage: Eukaryota; Metazoa; Chordata; Lepidosauria; Squamata; Teiidae
Description: lncRNA (ENSSMRG00000019022.1)
Source: RNAcentral